CGCCUGUUUAACAAAAACAUGUCUAUAUGGUUGUUAUAUAAAGUCUAGCCUGCCCACUGAUUUAGUUUAAAGGGCCGCGGUAUAUUGACCGUGCGAAGGUAGCAUAAUCAUUAGUCUUUUAAUUGAAGGCUUGUAUGAAUGGUUGGACAAAAAGUAAGCUGUCUCAAUUAUAAUAAUUGAAUUUAACUUUUAAGUGAAAAGGCUUAAAUAAAUUAAGGGGACGAUAAGACCCUAUAAAGCUUGACAAUAAUUUAAUUAUACUAUCAAUUGUUAGUAUAACUUGGUUUUAAUUAAUAUUUGUUGCGUUGGGGCGACGAGAAUAUAAUAGGUAACUGUUCUUAAAUAUUUAAUAACAAAUAUAAUUGGAAAUUAGUAUGAUCCUCUAUUAGCGAUUAAAAGAUUAAGUUACUUUAGGGAUAACAGCGUAAUCUUCUUUGAGAGUCCCUAUCGACAAGAAGGUUUGCGACCUCGAUGUUGAAUUAAGGUAUCCUUAUGAUGCAGCAGUUAUAAAGGAAGGGCUGUUCGACCUUUAAAUCCUUACGUGAUCUGAGUCAGACCGG
This 560-nucleotide ribosomal RNA is filed under the name Penaeus indicus. RNAcentral describes it as "partial 16S ribosomal RNA". It matches the Rfam family "Bacterial large subunit ribosomal RNA", at positions 1797 to 2619 of the family's 2925-position model. Lineage: Eukaryota; Metazoa; Arthropoda; Malacostraca; Decapoda; Penaeidae. The record is from RNAcentral.